UACAGAGGGGGCAAGCGUUAUUCGGAAUUAUUGGGCGUAAAGGGCGCGUAGGCGGCAUGGCAAGUGGAAGGUGAAAUCCCUCGGCUUAACCGAGGAACUGCCCUCCAAACUGCUUUGCUUGAGGCCGGGAGAGGUGAGUGGAAUUCCAGGUGUAGCGGUGAAAUGCGUAGAUAUCUGGAGGAACACCGGUGGCGAAGGCGGCAUCCUGGACCAACACUGACACUGAUGAGCGAAAGCCAGGGGAGCAAACGGG
This 253-nucleotide ribosomal RNA is filed under the name uncultured bacterium. RNAcentral's name for it is "partial 16S ribosomal RNA". It matches the Rfam family "Bacterial small subunit ribosomal RNA", at positions 524 to 776 of the family's 1533-position model. The record is from RNAcentral.